CACGCCGUAAACGAUGAUCACUAGAUGUGGGGUUGGCAUAGCCGACUCUGUGUCGUAGCUAACGCGUUAAGUGAUCCGCCUGGGAAUUACGGUCGCAAGAUUAAAACUCAAAGGAAUUGACGGGGGUCCGCACAAGCGGUGGAACAUGUGGUUUAAUUCGACACUACGCGAGGAACCUUACCUAGGUUUGACAUGUAACUGCUACUGAUAGAAAUAUUGGGUUCUGUAGCAAUACAGACGGUUACACAGGUGC
Molecule: ribosomal RNA, 253 nt
Filed under: uncultured bacterium
Lineage: Bacteria
Description: partial 16S ribosomal RNA
Rfam family: Bacterial small subunit ribosomal RNA
Source: RNAcentral